Molecule: small RNA, 109 nt
Filed under: Klebsiella ornithinolytica
Lineage: Bacteria; Pseudomonadati; Pseudomonadota; Gammaproteobacteria; Enterobacterales; Enterobacteriaceae
Description: Raoultella ornithinolytica partial RtT sRNA
Rfam family: RtT RNA
About the family: This family represents a bacterial cis-regulatory element known as RtT RNA.
Source: RNAcentral
GAGAACCUUCGACCGAGGUUCGACUCGAGCGAAAGCGAGAGAACGUUGCCGCAGGCAACGGCCCGAAGAGUGAGGCGCGAAGCGACGAAUAAUCCUUCCCCCACCACCA